AUCACUUCUCGGCCUUUUGGCUGAGCUCAAGUGUAGUAUCUGUUCUUAUCAGUUUAAUAUCUGAUAUGUCUUCGAUGUGAAGACGCUGUGUUAAGCAGCUUUUUGGAGAAAGGAGGCGGGUUGGCAGCUUGCUCCGUCCCCUGCAUGCAUCGGCUGCGUGGAGAGAAGCAGCGUGGCUCAGUGGAAAGAGC
This is a small nuclear RNA of Tachyglossus aculeatus (Australian echidna), 191 nucleotides long. RefSeq annotates it as U2 spliceosomal RNA. The record is from RefSeq and is a predicted model, not a curated record. NCBI's taxonomy places the organism in Eukaryota, Metazoa, Chordata, Mammalia, Monotremata, Tachyglossidae. The transcript has a single exon.